CUUUUAGCGAACAUUAGGCAGUGUAGGACCUGCCGAAUAUGGGGUACAUUGGCGUUGUGGCAGACUUAUGCAAUGUAUGAUCAUAUAAUGUAACUAAAUCCCCAUACUUUUCAUAUAUAGUGCUUAGUUAUGUCUCCUCUUGUUUUGCCUAUUAUAUCUUGUCUUAGUUUGUAGUCCCAGUCCAUGUACAGUCCUGUCCUGCU
This is a non-coding RNA of Pelobates cultripes (western spadefoot toad), 203 nucleotides long. The record is from the annotation of a GenBank genome assembly. Lineage: Eukaryota; Metazoa; Chordata; Amphibia; Anura; Pelobatidae.